RNAcentral lists this ribosomal RNA (478 nucleotides) under Globigerinoides ruber. RNAcentral's name for it is "bacterial SSU rRNA". It matches the Rfam family "Eukaryotic small subunit ribosomal RNA", at positions 1178 to 1462 of the family's 1831-position model. The record is from RNAcentral. Lineage: Eukaryota; Foraminifera; Rotaliida; Globigerinidae.
GGAGCAUGUGGCUUAAUUUGACUCAACACGGGAAAUCUUACCGGGUCCGGACAUACCGAGGAUUGACAGACUGUUAACUGCAACACAAGCUGCUAAGUUUUAAACUUAAUAGCUCUUUCAUGAUUAUAUGAUAGGUGGUGCAUGGCCGUUCUUAGUUCGUGGAGUGAUCUGUCUGCUUAAUUGCGUUUCAAAAUUUAAACCUGAGCGACAAGGUGCUGCUAUCGAAACUGUCUUUGAGUGUGAACUAUAAGUCUUUUGACUUAUGACCAUCACUCUAGACGUUUAUGUUUUGGUGUUGGCCCUUGAUGCUCAUUUGAACGCAACGGACGUGAUUGCAACCCCUUGUUGAGAUUUAUCCGAUCUCUACGUUCACUGAACCACACUCUUUAGCGAGAGCAGUGGGGAUGUGGAUAAACUCGGGGGACUGCUGACUAUAAACUUUUCUCAAACCAGAGGAAGGUUGCGGCAAUAACAGGUC